AACGAAUGCUGGCGGCAUGCCUAACACAUGCAAGUCGAACGAGACCUUCGGGUCUAGUGGCGCACGGGUGCGUAGCGCGUGGGAACCUGCCCUUAGGUUCGGAAUAACUCCCCGAAAGGGGUGCUAAUACCGGAUAAUGUCUUCGAACCAAAGAUUUAUCGCCUUUGGAUGGGCCCGCGUUGGAUUAGCUAGUUGGUAGGGUAAAAGCCUACCAAGGCGACGAUCCAUAGCUGGUCUGAGAGGAUGAUCAGCCACACUGGGACUGAGACACGGCCCAGACUCCUACGGGAGGCAGCAGUGGGGAAUAUUGGACAAUGGGCGAAAGCCUGAUCCAGCAAUGCCGCGUGAGUGAUGAAGGCCUUAGGGUUGUAAAGCUCUUUUACCCGGGAUGAUAAUGACAGUACCGGGAGAAUAAGCUCCGGCUAACUCCGUG
This 433-nucleotide ribosomal RNA is filed under the name uncultured bacterium. RNAcentral's name for it is "partial 16S ribosomal RNA". It matches the Rfam family "Bacterial small subunit ribosomal RNA", at positions 29 to 507 of the family's 1533-position model. The record is from RNAcentral.